GUACAUUUGAUUUCGCUAGUAAAAUAUUUGUCUCCCUCUUUUUCAGCUUUUCAAUAUAUCUUUUCUUCUGAUUUCGCUCUUAGUCAAACCUAAAUCAGGAUUUAUAUCACCGCAUGGACCGUGCAUCAUAUGUUGAAGGACACACGAAUAAAGGGGUGACAUUUUGUUGUCCCGUAGAUGCGUUGGAUGUUGAGCCUGAAGCAUAGAUGGGCAUAAUUUAAAUGUCUAGCUAGAACAUGAUGCAGUAACAAAGUAGAAGGUACAGGUUAUGGGCUGACCUUUUUCAAAUACACAAAAAGGCUGGAAUAUAUUUUUUCCUUUGUCAGAAGACCUCGAUAAUGUAUUGACUUCAUAGCAGGCGUGUUCUGCACAGAAUGUCAAACACGCUCCACAUUAAGUUAGUACGAAGGUAGAUCAUUGUAUUUUGACAUUAGCAGAAGUGAAGAAGAAGCAAUUCAUCAUUUCAACCUUGGA
This is a long non-coding RNA of Lycium barbarum (goji berry), 474 nucleotides long. RefSeq lists it as uncharacterized. The transcript has 3 exons. The record is from RefSeq and is a predicted model, not a curated record. NCBI's taxonomy places the organism in Eukaryota, Viridiplantae, Streptophyta, Magnoliopsida, Solanales, Solanaceae.